This is a long non-coding RNA of Labeo rohita (rohu), 820 nucleotides long. RefSeq lists it as uncharacterized. The transcript has 4 exons. The record is from RefSeq and is a predicted model, not a curated record. NCBI's taxonomy places the organism in Eukaryota, Metazoa, Chordata, Actinopteri, Cypriniformes, Cyprinidae.
UUAUCAGUGAUUAUCAGCUCAUUGAUAUGGGCCAGAAGGGGCCUGCUGCGCCUACUGGUAGGCUCAGAAGGCUGUUAUCGUCCAUCCAAAUGGUUAAUCACCGCACGCAAGUAUGACGGUGAAAUUACCACUGGCGUACCAGCAGGGGCGAUCGUUUCCCCAACGCCAUCAACUCCACGCGGACCAAUGACCAGCGAAUUAGUGCAUUAAAAGACGGAUUUUAGAUGACGUCAAGACACAUACAGUUACAUCGGAUCACACACUCCAGCAGCUCUUUUAAGAAGCCAUCUCUUGUAAAGAAAGCUGCUAGAAUUAACAGGGAACUUGGACUUGAAGCUCCCAAUGCUGGUCUUGAAGAAGCUGUCAAGGAGGCUGAACAAGUCAUUCAAAGCUGAAAGUGAAGACCAGAGGAAGGCCUGUCAUGGGAUUUGAAUUAGGCCAUAUUGUCCGUUUACGGAGAACACCAAAAGCUGCAAAGGCAAAAAUUUCCAAUGGUAUGUCUGUGUUUGUCUGAGCACCUUGACUGAACUGUACUAUACUGUUACAUUUGCACAGCAUUUGAUGUUUCUUUAACUUUGGUUUACAUACACCACGGUCCUAUCAGGAAGAACAAAAUAUCAUGUUGAAGUAGUGAUAAUUCAUGCAAUUUACCAAGUCAACAAAUUCAUAUGAUAUUGGACAAGUGUACUUAUACAAAAUUCUACGACUUUCACUCCUACUGCUGUCAUUGGCCAUAGCUUCAACUCGCAUGUAGUUUGUGCCCAUUGGAAGUAGUCAGAGUGUUUGUAUCAUCAAGUUUAUAUUAAGUCCAUUUAAUUCU